This 268-nucleotide ribosomal RNA is filed under the name uncultured bacterium. Its description in RNAcentral is "partial 16S ribosomal RNA". It matches the Rfam family "Bacterial small subunit ribosomal RNA", at positions 85 to 354 of the family's 1533-position model. The record is from RNAcentral.
CCGAUGGCGACCGGCGCACGGGUGAGUAACACGUAUCCAACCUGCCGAUAACGCGGGGAUAGCCUUUCGAAAGAAAGAUUAAUAUCCGAUAGGAUAUCAAGGUCGCAUGAUCUUGAUAUUAAAGAAUUUCGGUUAUCGAUGGGGAUGCGUUCCAUUAGUUAGUUGGCGGGGUAACGGCCCACCAAGACGACGAUGGAUAGGGGUUCUGAGAGGAAGGUCCCCCACAUUGGAACUGAGACACGGUCCAAACUCCUACGGAAGGCAGCAG